GUUCUAGCAUCUGGCCGGGGCGGCAGCCUGAGAGCCAUGGAGCCGCUGGGUGCAACACUGUCCUGCCCGUGUGCAUGGAGCUGCUUACGUUGCCUGCACUGCUGCUGUCCUGUUCCCACAACUUCUGCAAACAGUGCCUGGAGCUGAUCUUGGUUUACCAGAAUUGCACCCAGGUCCAGGGAUGGUUCUGUUGUCCAGUGUGUAGGAAAGACAUUUAUUUGAAGGGCAGGGGAACAAAUGGAUUGCAGGGAAACAUCCUGGCUGAAAAUAUCCUGGAAAAGCUUAAGGAAGUACUUGAGACACUUCACACCGGGGAGCAAAACCAGCUCGCUCAGAUGUGUGAAAAGCGUGGAAAAAUCAUGAAUCUGUUGUGCCUAAGUGAUGAAAAGCCAAUAUGCAGGAUAUUCAAGCUCUCUGGGGACCACAGUUCUCACCAGGUAGCCAAGAUUGCUGAUGUGUACACAGAAAGGAAAGCUAGCUUUGCUGAGGACAUUCAGCAGGUGCUGCAGAGAUCUGAGAGCACAGCCCAGGAAACGGAGGACACAGAGAGGCUCAUCAGACCUGUCCACCAGCACCACCAGCACAAGGACCAUGAUCAAAACCAUCGGAAACUGCCUGAUCAGCGGCAUCCACAGCCGCAGCCACAUGGUUACCUCAAAGCAGGAGCUGGAGCAUGCCUCCGAGUUGGAGAGGCUGCAGUGGGUGGCCUGGGACCUCACAGUCCCCCGCCAGCUCUGCCACCAGAUGCUGAGGCUCCUGCAGCAGCACCAGAAUGCGAUAUAGUUUCUGCGAGAAAGGACAAAAAGUUCAGGACGGAGAUGAAGAGGCUCAUGCACGAUGGCAUGGUCCCCCAGGUCCCUGAAAAGGACAACAUGUCUAUCAGGCACUAAUUUCAAGAGCUCAUUAAAGGAAUAGAUAUUGCUGACUUGGUCCUGCCUGAGUUAGCCCAGGCGCUGGCCACCGUGGCCAGGCUGCCCGAGGCCUGCAGGAUGGGCAGGGCCACGCAGAGCGAACUGUUGGAACAAACGCUCCAGGAGAUUUUAUGCAAGUCAGAGUUGGGCUUGCUGCCAAAACCGAACAAAGAGGCAAAGCUUCCUGGG
Homo sapiens (human) is the source of this 1100-nucleotide long non-coding RNA. NCBI's taxonomy places the organism in Eukaryota, Metazoa, Chordata, Mammalia, Primates, Hominidae. The record is from Ensembl.